Molecule: ribosomal RNA, 500 nt
Filed under: uncultured bacterium
Lineage: Bacteria
Description: partial 16S ribosomal RNA
Rfam family: Bacterial small subunit ribosomal RNA
Source: RNAcentral
AUUGAACGCUGGCGGAAUGCUUUACACAUGCAAGUCGAACGGCAGCACGGGGGCAACCCUGGUGGCGAGUGGCGAACGGGUGAGUAAUACAUCGGAACGUGCCCAGUCGUGGGGGAUAACGUAGCGAAAGUUACGCUAAUACCGCAUACGAUCUACGGAUGAAAGCGGGGGACCGUAAGGCCUCGCGCGAUUGGAGCGGCCGAUGUCAGAUUAGGUAGUUGGUGAGGUAAAGGCUCACCAAGCCGACGAUCUGUAGCUGGUCUGAGAGGACGACCAGCCACACUGGGACUGAGACACGGCCCAGACUCCUACGGGAGGCAGCAGUGGGGAAUUUUGGACAAUGGGCGCAAGCCUGAUCCAGCCAUUCCGCGUGCAGGACGAAGGCCUUCGGGUUGUAAACUGCUUUUGUACGGAACGAAAAGGCUCUGGUUAAUACCUGGGGCUCAUGACGGUACCGUAAGAAUAAGCACCGGCUAACUACGUGCCAGCCGCCGCGGUAA